RNAcentral lists this transfer RNA (85 nucleotides) under Felis catus (domestic cat). It matches the Rfam family "tRNA". Rfam says of the family: Transfer RNA (tRNA) molecules are approximately 80 nucleotides in length. Lineage: Eukaryota; Metazoa; Chordata; Mammalia; Carnivora; Felidae. The record is from Rfam by way of RNAcentral.
GCCUGAAUGGCUCAGUUGGUUGAGCAUUUGACUUUGGCUCAGGCCAUGAUCUCAUGGUUCAUGGGUUCAAGCCCCACGUCGGGCU